Molecule: long non-coding RNA, 620 nt
Organism: Xiphophorus hellerii (green swordtail)
Lineage: Eukaryota; Metazoa; Chordata; Actinopteri; Cyprinodontiformes; Poeciliidae
Exons: 3
Source: RefSeq, a predicted model, not a curated record
UAUAAUGCUUUUGACCAAAGGUUAUGCCUUUUUAUUGAUCAAACCCAAGGUAACAUCUGUUGACUGCACAGACUUCAGACAAAAGAUUUAGUUAAUUAUUUGUCAGCUGCUGUGUAUAUUUAAGGCUCGGCUCAUCACAGAAACCACAAAAUAUGAUGUUGAGAAUGGAAAUGACAAUGGUUUUCUCACUGUUGUUGCUAAUCUGCUUUCUCUCCACAGCUCAGCUACAGCCAGAGUCUAACAAUGAAAUUAUUUCACAUUUAAGGCAAACAACAGAUGCAGGAAACCUAUCAGACAAUCAACAAACUUGUGCACAGGACAUCCAUGCAGUGCUGAGAGAGAUGAGCGCCUCAUUGGCUGGACUGAAGGUUGGUAUGGAGUAUCUGCAGAAAGAUAAUGAAGGUAUGUUAACCAGAAAUCACUGCUGUAUGAAACUGAAGUCUUUAUAUUAAAAUAAUCACAGUUUAAUGUUUUUUAUUUUACUCCUGCAACAGCCAAGACAAAAGAACUGGACUUGAUAAAACAACAAUACCAAGAGCAAGUUACAAAAGUAGGAAAUCUUGAGCAGCAGUACCAAGAGCAAGUGACAAAAGUAAGAAAUCUUGAGCAGCAGUACCAAG